CCUACGGGAGGCAGCAGUGGGGAAGUUUUGGACAAUGGGCGAAAGCCUGAUCCAGCCAUGCCGCGUGCAGGAUGAAGGCCUUCGGGUUGUAAACUGCUUUUGUACGGAACGAAAAGCCUCUUUCUAAUAAAGAGGGGUCAUGACGGUACCGUAAGAAUAAGCACCGGCUAACUACGUGCCAGCAGCCGCGGUAAUACGUAGGGUGCAAGCGUUAAUCGGAAUUACUGGGCGUAAAGCGUGCGCAGGCGGUUUUGUAAGACAGAGGUGAAAUCCCCGGGCUCAACCUGGGAACUGCCUUUGUGACUGCAAGGCUGGAGUGCGGCAGAGGGGAUGGAAUUCCGCGUGUAGCAGUGAAAUGCGUAGAUAUGCGGAGGAACACCGAUGGCGAAGGCAAUCCCCUGGGCCUGCACUGACGCUCAUGCACGAAAGCGUGGGGAGCAAACAGGAUUAGAUACCCUGGUAGUCCACGCCCUAAACGAUGUCAACUGGUUGUUGGGUCUUCACUGACUCAGUAACGAAGCUAACGCGUGAAGUUGACCGCCUGGGGAGUCGGCCGCAAGGUUGAAACUUGAAAGAUUGACGNNGNGNGNGCGAGNGACGAGAGGAG
This 607-nucleotide ribosomal RNA is filed under the name uncultured bacterium. RNAcentral describes it as "bacterial SSU rRNA". It matches the Rfam family "Bacterial small subunit ribosomal RNA", at positions 338 to 941 of the family's 1533-position model. The record is from RNAcentral.